RNAcentral lists this ribosomal RNA (450 nucleotides) under uncultured bacterium. RNAcentral describes it as "partial 16S ribosomal RNA". It matches the Rfam family "Bacterial small subunit ribosomal RNA", at positions 354 to 796 of the family's 1533-position model. The record is from RNAcentral.
GUGGGGAAUUUUGGACAAUGGGCGCAAGCCUGAUCCAGCAAUGCCGCGUGCAGGAAGAAGGCCUUCGGGUUGUAAACUGCUUUUGUACGGAACGAAACGGUCCUGGCUAAUAUCCGGGGCUAAUGACGGUACCGUAAGAAUAAGCACCGGCUAACUACGUGCCAGCAGCCGCGGUAAUACGUAGGGUGCGAGCGUUAAUCGGAAUUACUGGGCGUAACGCGUGCGCAGGCGGUGCUGUAAGACAGGCGUGAAAUCCCCGGGCUCAACCUGGGAAUUGCGCUUGUGACUGCAGUGCUGGAGGGCGGCAGAGGGGGAUGGAAUUCCGCGUGUAGCAGUGAAAUGCGUAGAUAUGCGGAGGAACACCGAUGGCGAAGGCAAUCCCCUGGGCCUGCACUGACGCUCAUGCACGAAAGCGUGGGGAGCAAACAGGAUUAGAAACCCCGGUAGUCC